AGGGCCUGGUCGCUAGUUCGGAUAUCGCUAGUCCGUCGUGUUUACUUCGGGUUAGUGGCGGACGGGUGAGUAACACGUGGGAACGUGCCUUUAGGUUCGGAAUAGCUCCUGGAAACGGGUGGUAAUGCCGAAUGUGCCCUUCGGGGGAAAGAUUUAUCGCCUUUAGAGCGGCCCGCGUCUGAUUAGCUAGUUGGUGAGGUAACGGCUCACCAAGGCGACGAUCAGUAGCUGGUCUGAGAGGAUGACCAGCCACACUGGGACUGAGACACGGCCCAGACCCCUACGGGAGGCAGCAGUGGGGAAUCUUGCACAAUGGGCGAAAGCCUGACGCAGCCAUGCCGCGUGAAUGAUGAAGGUCUUAGGAUUGUAAAAUUCUUUCACCGGGGACGAUAAUGACGGUACCCGGAGAAGAAGCCCCGGCUAACUUCGUGCCAGCAGCCGCGGUAAUACGAAGGGGGCUAGCGUUGCUCGGAAUUACUGGGCGUAAAGGGCGCGUAGGCGGAUCGUUAAGUCAGAGGUGAAAUCCCAGGGCUCAACCCUGGAAACUGCCUUUGAUACUGGCGAUCUUGAGUAUGAGAGAGGUAUGUGGAACUCCGAGUGUAGAGGUGAAAUUCGUAGAUAUUCGGAAGAACACCAGUGGCGAAGGCGACAUACUGGCUCAUUACUGACGCUGAGGCGCGAAAGCGUGGGGAGCAUACAGGAUUAGAUACCCUGGUAGUCCACGCGUAAACGAUGAUUGCUAGUUGUCGGGCUGCAUGCAGUUCGGUGACGCAGCUAACGCAUUAAGCAAUCGCUGGGGAGUACGGUCGCAAGAUUAAAACUCAAGGAUGACGGGGGCCCGCACAAGCGGUGG
This 853-nucleotide ribosomal RNA is filed under the name uncultured bacterium. RNAcentral's name for it is "bacterial SSU rRNA". It matches the Rfam family "Bacterial small subunit ribosomal RNA", at positions 44 to 935 of the family's 1533-position model. The record is from RNAcentral.